RNAcentral lists this ribosomal RNA (404 nucleotides) under uncultured Ktedonobacteria bacterium. Its description in RNAcentral is "bacterial SSU rRNA". It matches the Rfam family "Bacterial small subunit ribosomal RNA", at positions 353 to 772 of the family's 1533-position model. Lineage: Bacteria; Bacillati; Chloroflexota; Ktedonobacteria. The record is from RNAcentral.
AGCAAGGAAUUUUCGUCAAUGGGGGGAACCCUGAACGAGCAACGCCGCGUGGGCGAAGAAGUCCUUCGGGAUGUAAAGCCCUUUUCCCUGUGAAGAAGGAAAGACGGUAGCAGGGGAAUAAGCAUCGGCUAACUACGUGCCAGCAGCCGCGGUAAUACGUAGGAUGCAAGCGUUGUCCGGAAUUAUUGGGCGUAAAGAGCGCGCAGGCGGUUCGUCAAGUCAGAUGUGAAAUAACCCGGCUUAACCGGGGGGGGUCAUUUGAAACUGGCGGACUAGAGUGUACCAGAGGAUAGCGGAAUUCCCGGUGUAGUGGUGAAAUGCGUAGAUAUCGGGAGGAACACCAGUGGCGAAGGCGGCUAUCUGGGGUGCAACUGACGCUGAGGCGCGAAGGCUAGGGUAGCAAA